RNAcentral lists this long non-coding RNA (2172 nucleotides) under Oryctolagus cuniculus (rabbit). Its description in RNAcentral is "lncRNA (ENSOCUG00000031405.1)". The stretch from base 40 to 173 matches the Rfam family "Myocardial infarction associated transcript exon 1". Lineage: Eukaryota; Metazoa; Chordata; Mammalia; Lagomorpha; Leporidae. The record is from RNAcentral.
CAGCUACGAAGUCGGCGCCGGCUGCGCUCGGGGGACCAGCGGGAGGGAGGCUGCGGACGAGUGCGGGGAGGAGUCUGCGCUGGGAGGCGCUUGCAGGGGCUCCCCCAGUUCUGCGCCGAGAGCCGCGGCACAAAGAGCUCUCUGCGCCCACCAGAGCCAGCGCCUUCCAUUCAUUCCCGCACUUCCGGAGCUCCAGUCGCAGACGUGCGGUGUCGUCCCGGGCGGCUAGAAGGGGCCGGAGAGGGCUGGCCGUGGUGGUGACAGCGGUGCCGGCAGCGAUACUUGGGCUUGCUGCUCCGCCUGCGUUCUUCCGGCAAGCCCACGAGCUGUGGCCUCUCCCUGCCCAUGCACGUGGUUUCUGAGACACGCGUGUGGCCGCCAUGACCCAGUGGCAGCAAAGGGCCCGGGGCUGUUUGCAGAGUACGGCGAUCCGGGGACCCAGGAGACAGAAGAGAGCGCCCAGAUUGUUCCGGACCUGCACGGUCAGCGGGAGCCACCUUGCAGAUAAGUGUGGGACUGGCCAGCCUGCAGCCCUCUGGCCCGCCCCCUGCUGGCCUGUUCAGCAAAGUGCUGGAUCCCAGGAUCAGGAAGAGGGAGGGAGGGUAAUCCGUGAGGCCCCUACUCACUUUUCUACCUCUGUGCCAGAAAGAAAGAGCUUGUCCCUGUUUUGUGGGGCGCAAGAAAAGGCGAUCGGUAUUCCGGAUUCCCGACUCGCUGUCCAGUGCUCCCUCCCAGCCGUCAGCAAGCUGCAAGUUUCUCCUGUGUUCUCUCGGGUCGCCUGUGACGUUGCUGGGGAGCGGGUGGGGGUGGUGCAGGGAGACCUGGCCUCCGCGCUCUCUGGGGAUGUUCUGGGGUGGGAGCCAGGGGAGGUGGAGAGUGGUGCGCCCCCACCCCCCGCCGGGCUCCCAGGCCACCUGCUCACCAGCAGGGAGUUCUGGCUAUGCCCAGGCUGGGGCGGGGGUUGGGGUAGGGGUGGGGGGAUGGUGAGGGCUGGAUGCUGUUUUCUCCCGAGUUGUGUUUGGUGCUUUUUUUUUUUCCUUCCAGGAUGGGGCUGUGGGGUCGACAUGGGGAAUGAGCCGGAGCCGGGCCUGGGCUGCCGAGGCACUGGCUGGAGGCUGCCAGGUGUGAUCUGGGGGUGGGGGGGAGGGGGGUCGAGAGGGAGGCUGCACUGAGCCUGGUCUGAUGGGGGCUAGAAUAGCCUCCUGCUUCGUCCCUUUCCUCGGGGGGGGGUAGGGAGGGGGCUGCAGGCUUCAGGCUUGUGUGCUCUCUGUGGUCCGUGCGGGGCAGGUGUGCUCUUGGCCAUGACUCCAGCAGGCUUCUCUCUUCAGCAGGGCAUGCACUGCGUCCCUUCUCUGAGCUGGACUCGGGGAUCCAGCGGUGAGCACCUGAGAUGCCCCGUACUGUUCCCUGGGAUCUUCAGGUGAGAAGCCGUGGCUGCGGGGGGUCGGCGAAGGGGUGUGUGUGUGUGUGUGUGUGUGUGUGUAUGAGGAGGUGGGGUGCAGACGCCCUCAGUGGGAAAGCUGCAGAGGGAAUUCAAACCAGCCGAGGUCUCUGAAGGUCUGUGCCACCCACCGAGCCCUUGUCCCCUCCCCUGCGACACUCUGAGCUAACCCUGCCUGGGGGCAGGCUGUAGUGUGUGUGUGUGUGUUUGUGUGUGUGUAGGGGGCUUCACAGCCACACACACUUCCUCCCCGAUCCUGAGAUUUCUCCUGCAAGGUUUUAGUGCCCAAAGCUCUCGCCCCGACCCUGUGUGGGUAUUGGGGGUGCUGGGGUCUCUGAGUGUCUGAGUUAGGCUGGGAGAGGGGAGCCGCGGGAAGUUGGGGAUGGAGGCCGUGGCCUUAGUCUCCCUUGCUGCAUCUCUCCCAGGAGCCUCUGCUCCGGCCGCGUGGCCAGGACUCCAGGCCUGGUGCCAGCAGCUGUCAGUGGUUUUCUGGACCUCUGGGUGAUCCUGCCAAGACCUCAGCCUUCCCCAUGCACAGGACGGAGCCUGCUGUGGACGCGAGCCCUCCCUGGCCGACACUCCGCUGAGGACUGAACUGGAUGUCAAGGGCAGCUCAAGGGUACAGCAGGGGCCGCAGCAGCCGCCUGCCUGUCGCAUCUGCUGGGCUCCAGUGUCUGGGGCUGGGGGUCACUUCCUGACCCCGCUUGGACUCGGUUCCUCCUCGGGUCUCU